AUACUUACCUGGCAGAGGAGAUACCAUGUUCAUGAAAGUGGUUUUUACAGGGUGAGGCUCAUCUGCUGCAUCUGGGUUUGCUGACCCCUGCGAUUUCCCAAAUGCAGGAAACUCGACUGCAUAAUUUGUGGUACCGGGGGACUGCAUUUGUGCUUUCCCCUG
This 162-nucleotide small nuclear RNA is filed under the name Salvator merianae (Argentine black and white tegu). Its description in RNAcentral is "U1 spliceosomal RNA (ENSSMRG00000022355.1)". It matches the Rfam family "U1 spliceosomal RNA". Rfam says of the family: U1 is a small nuclear RNA (snRNA) component of the spliceosome (involved in pre-mRNA splicing). Its 5' end forms complementary base pairs with the 5' splice junction, thus defining the 5' donor site of an intron. There are significant differences in sequence and secondary structure between metazoan and yeast U1 snRNAs, the latter being much longer (568 nucleotides as compared to 164 nucleotides in human). The record is from RNAcentral. Lineage: Eukaryota; Metazoa; Chordata; Lepidosauria; Squamata; Teiidae.